GAUGAACGCUGGCGGCGUGCCUAACACAUGCAAGUCGAGCGAACGGACGAGAAGCUUGCUUUUCUGAUGUUAGCGGCGGACGGGUGAGUAACACGUGGCUAACCUAUCUAUAAGACUGGGCUAACUUCGGGAAACCGGAGCUCAUACCAGAUAAUAUUUUGAACCUCAUGGUUCAAAAGAGAAAGACGGUCUUGCUGUCACUUAUAGAUGGAUCCGGGCUGCAUUGGCUAGUUGGUAGGGUAACGGCUUAGCAAGGCAACGAUGCGUAGCCGACCUGAGAGGGUGGUCGGCCACACGGGAACUGAGACACGGUCCAGACUCCUACGGGAGGCAGCAGUAGGGAAUCUGCCGCAGUGGGCGAAAGCCUGACGGAGCGACGCCGCGUGAGUGAUGAAGGUCUUCGGAUCGUAAAGCUCUGUUAUUAGGGAAGAACAUAUGUGAGAAGAACUGUGCACAUCGUGACGGUACCUAAACAGAAAGCCACGGCUAACUACGUG
RNAcentral lists this ribosomal RNA (497 nucleotides) under uncultured bacterium. Its description in RNAcentral is "partial 16S ribosomal RNA". It matches the Rfam family "Bacterial small subunit ribosomal RNA", at positions 28 to 507 of the family's 1533-position model. The record is from RNAcentral.